This 451-nucleotide ribosomal RNA is filed under the name uncultured bacterium. RNAcentral's name for it is "partial 16S ribosomal RNA". It matches the Rfam family "Bacterial small subunit ribosomal RNA", at positions 354 to 796 of the family's 1533-position model. The record is from RNAcentral.
GUGGGGAAUCUUCCGCAAUGGACGAAAGUCUGACGGAGCGACGCCGCGUGAGUGAUGAAGGCCUUCGGGUCGUAAAGCUCUGUCAGAGGGGAAGAAGUGUGAGGUGGCUAAUAUCCAUUUCACUUGACGGUACCUUCAAAGGAAGCACCGGCUAACUCCGUGCCAGCAGCCGCGGUAAUACGGAGGGUGCGAGCGUUGUUCGGAAUUAGUGGGCGUAAAGCGCGUGUAGGCGGUUUUUUAAGUCUGAUGUGAAAGCCCUGGGCUCAACCCGGGAAGUGCAUUGGAAACUGGGAGACUUGAAUACGGGAGAGGGAAGUGGAAUUCCUGGUGUAGGAGUGAAAUCCGUAGAUAUCAGGAGGAACAUCGGUGGCGAAGGCGGCUGCCUGGACCGAUAUUGACGCUGAGACGCGAAAGCGUGGGGAGCAAACAGGAUUAGAAACCCGGGUAGUCC